Molecule: ribosomal RNA, 253 nt
Filed under: uncultured bacterium
Lineage: Bacteria
Description: partial 16S ribosomal RNA
Rfam family: Bacterial small subunit ribosomal RNA
Source: RNAcentral
UACAGAGGGUGCAAGCGUUGUUCGGAAUUAUUGGGCGUAAAGCGCGCGCAGGCGGUCCGGUAAGUCUCCGGUGAAAUCGCCCGGCUCAACUGGGCGGGUGCCGGGGAGACUGGCGGACUUGAGGAGCCUAGAGGCCGGUGGAACUCCCGGUGUAGUGGUGAAAUGCGUAGAGAUCGGGAAGAACACCAGUGGCGAAGGCGGCCUUCUGGACCAAUACUGACGCUCAUGCACGAAAGCGUGGGGAGCAAACAGG